AUAAUUUAUUUAUUAUUUUUUUAUUCAUGUAUUUCUAUAUUUUUUUCUGCCAAUUCCAUGCUUACUCCUAUUGUUUCGUGUGUGGAAAAUAUUUUCUCCACUGAUUCAGCCCCACGCACUCUUGCUCCUUUCCCUUACCUUCAGUUCAUCCCCAACAGUGAAAUCCUUAUGCCCUAGCUGCUGCUCCGGUCGCCGUUCGUCACCGUUGCCGUCGCCGUCGCCGUCGCCGUCGCCGUUGAUCAUCUUGGCUGAUCUUGCCUAGUCUAAAGAUUAACUUCCGUCUUCUCGGUCCCUCUCUUUUUCAUCUUCUCUCUCUUUCUCUCUUUCUCUGGAUGUCGGACCGAUGCUGUUUCUCUCUCCCUUCCUCUGUUCCUCUCUCCCCUCUCUUUCGCCUCCCCUCCCAUCUUUAUCUUCUCCGACUCUUCUCGUGAUGGUGAGAUCUCCUUUUCUUUUUCUUCGAGCAUCGAGGCCUCCUCCAGCGGCCGGCGGCCGUUGAGCCCCUCUUUCUUCUUCUCCUUCUCUCUCGCUCUCCCUCACUUUCUUUCUCCCCCCUCUCUCUCCCUCUCUCCCUCUCCUCCCCGCUCUUCCCCCAUUGUCUCCCCUCCCUCCGGCUGACGGCUGACUUCGAGGCCUUCUUUCUGUUCUCCGACUGAUGGCGAGGGUAUCCCAGCUCUUCCUGCUACAGAAGGGGAUCCGGCCUACGUCCAAUGUAAUUAAGGCCAGAUUUAAAGAACCACAACCCUAUCAUCAUCCUGGCAUUCCACAAUUAAUCCGAGGUUCCUUAUGUGCACCAUCUUAUAGUAGGGUUUCUCUUAGUCAUUUUUUUUCUUUAGUGGUUGGUAGACAGAUCUAAAGGAUUUUGCAUUCCGGGCUUAUGAAGGCGUGUGAUUUGCUCAAAAAGAGUCGGGGUGAAUAUUGGGAAAACUAGAUAAUGUAUAUCAUGGUUGUAUUCAUUACAAUACUUGGUGCAUUUUACAAGUAAAUCCCCUAUUUUGGCAUUUCCCUUGCAGAGGUAUUGGACUACACAUGCAUCAGCAUCUUGGUACAAUAGAAAUUUUCCAGCAAACUUCCGACUUGCUGUUUUGAUGGUGUUAGCAGCCAUCUAUUGGAGUUAACAGAUUGUUAUUCAUUCCUACCUUGGUAAUUAUUUUGAUGGUGUUAACAGAUUGCGACCUGCUAUUUUGAUGAUUGCUUAUGUAUUGGAAACUUCAUCUGCUUACGUGGAUCCAUUGUCUGUUUCAGAGGUUUUAUUGAUAUUAUGGAGAAAUCAAGAAAACGUAUCAUGGAGCCUUUAAUAGACGAACAUAGUCAAGCCGAAAGUAAUAUACCUUUACGGUCUCAACAACAAAGUCUAUCCUGAAGGCAAAAUAAGUCUCACUUCCAAUACCAUAAUCGAUCAAACAGUCCUAUGGAGAAUGAUGAUCAAUUUCAAAAUGGAGAUUUCAAAGAGGAAGGACCAGGGGAAGAAAAUGCAUCAAGUAUAACAUAUCUAGUUACAAAAUACUUAUCAAUCUAAGAAAGUAAAUAAUUUUUUUUAAUUUAUUCUUUAGCCCGACCAAACAAGAUAGCAAAGGGUUGUAACACCAAUACAUAUGAAGAGUCUCGCAAGCAAAGAAUUGAAGAAAAUAAAAAGAGAACUGAGGUGACUGAUUGUAAAUUUAUCAAGUCUUACAUUUUUUUCCUAAUUAUUAAUUGUAAGUUAAGAAAGAAUGAUUCUUUAAUCAAUUACUUUAACCAUUCUCUUCUCAAGGAAUUGAAAAUUUUGAAGAUUUCAAAAAGCUUGACAGAAGUUACAAAUUCAGCAAAAAAGAUCUCGGUAUAACCCUAAGUUUUUGUUGCUUAAUUCUUCGUCAAAAACCAACUAUCUGCCUGAUGUCUAUUUCCCUCUCUCUCUAUGUAUAUAUUAAAUUUUUGCAGCAGCAGCACCUUUCAAAACAGAGAUCAUCCAAGCACAAUAUCGUAUUGAAAUGAAAGCGCUCUUCUCGUGUGAAUCAUCAAUCAAAUAAUUACAUGGAGAAUGAUGAGUCUCACUCGGAACAUCACAAUAAUAGUGAUAUGGAAAAUAAUGAUGAAUCUCUAAGUGUUGAAUUUCUAGAGGAAGGAGAAGAGGAAGAAAAUAUAUCAGGUAUAAUAUAGUAUUAUAUAGUUGUUUGUGAUGUAGGACAAAAUCUAAUAUGGGGCCUUUGAAAUUUAUGACAUAGAUACAAGAGAAAGUAGGGUAGGAGCUAUUUAAGAUGGUCAUGUGUUCCUAGAAACUAAAAUAAUUUAGAUUCUGGAAUUUAGAAGGUUGAACAGUAAUUGUGAAUAGUUAUUUCAAACUUGCUGAAAAUUACUGAGAUUGAAAAUAUAGGCUGAGAUUGAACUAGAUGGGUAGGUACUGUAUUUUGGCUUUAAGGAGUUGUAAUGGCUGUUUGCCUUUUCUAUCUUUAUUAGCAUAUAUUUUUUCUCAUGGGCUGUUGCAUCAGGAUGCUUACUAAUUAAUGAUAAUUUUGACAAUCACAAUCCUUAGAACAAAGGGCUGUAAGUGGACCUACUCUAUUGGCUGAUGUUUGGGACAUGCUUGAAGAAAACACAAUUGUUGUAAAGUUUAAUGAUCGUGGGCAACCCAUUGAUGAAAAAGGGCGAGUGCUAGCUAGUUUUUUUAGGGAUCAUGGCAAGAAAUGCUGCACUAACUCCUUUGAAUUUUAGCGAUUGGAGAACCUUUCCAAAAGAGGGAAAAAGCAAACUUUUGGCAUUUGUGAAGGCAAAAUGGUUACUCAUAUUUAUUUUUUCAUUAUUAAAAUAUUAUGAGUUGUAUGGAGUCUGCAUUUCAUAAUUUGUUUUUGUUAUUUUAAUCUUUUUGUAUUGUAGACAAAGUUUACUAUUCCACGAAUUGGUGAUGAUUGGGUUCUUAAGUCCAUAGCAAAAAAAUGGAGGGAUUACAAAAGUAAUUUGAAGCCUGAGUACACAGAAAAAUAUAGAACUCUUUAGGAGCUACAUUCGAAUAAACCUGACCGUAUAUCAAGAGAUCAAUGGAAAGCUUUGGUUUGGAUUAUGAUGGCUGGUUUGGUUUUAUAAUGUCUUUUAUGGUGGCUAGUUUUAAAACUUACAUUAUGAUUAGUUUGACAAAUUGUUGAUUAAUGGACAUAGAUAGUUUGCUGUUUCUUGAUUGAUUAUAGUGUCAUUUAGACAUUGUUUUACAUAUUUUCUUGUCAGUGCCUCCAUGUACCUCCUUUUAUUGUUUAUUUUCAGGCAUGGGAGAAUAAUUAUAAAGAAACCAAAGAUUGUAGGUUCUUUCAUUAUUUUGAAUCUAAAAAAUGAAGGCCUGAAGUUAGUAUCAAUCUCGAGUCUUUUAAAUAGAAGACUUCAUUUUAAUAUUUGAUUACUCAAGUUUGAUAUGAUAUUGUUUUACUGGGUAUCUUUAUCAACCUACUCGAAAGUUCUUCACUGCCAUAUUCAGAAACUUACUUAUACUCAAUUUAUUUGGGCAAGAUUGUUUUUCAAUUAUUGGCAUCUGUUACUUAAGCCUAUUCACUGGGCUUUUAAUCUCCAUAUCUUUCAUGAUGGUAAUAGAGCAGCAGAUUUUCUUGCUGAUUUAGCUAAAAAAAGCUGAUUUUGAUGUUGGUCUGUCUAGUCCUUUUGCUUCGGAUGUCCUUCAUAUCCUUUGAGCGAAGUCUUGAGGAUUUACUAUGAACGAUGAUGAUGCCAGUAUGCAAAUCUGUGGGUCAUCAUUUAAUCCUAUAUGGGGUUCUUAGUUUUUUGAUCCCAUAUCAGCAAUUGCUUUGCUGUUGCAGGCUGAAAUGUUGGGGAUUUUGCUAUUGGUUUGGUGUUUGCACUAGCUCUGAGUUCAAUGCUUGUAUCUCUAUUAUUUUCAAAUGUCUUAAUCUUCUUGAUCCAUUUCGGGGGAUGAAUGUUUCAUCACAAUGAUACUGUUUUAUUUAAAGGAUUUAUGGACUUCUAUGGUUAAGAAACAAGAAGUACCUUUAUUUAUGUUCUACUUGGUUAGCUAAAAAAGCUGAUUUUGAUAUUGGCCCAUCUGGUCCUUUUGCUUUGGAUUUCCUUCAUGUCCUUUGAGCGGAGUCUUGGGGGAUUUACUAUGAACGAUGAUGAUGCCAGUAUGCAAAUCUGUGGGUCAUCAUUUAAUCCUAUAUGGGACUGUUAGUUUUCUGAUCCCAGAUUAGCAAUUGCUCUGCUGUUGCAUGCUGAAAUGUUGGGGAUUUUGCUAUUGGUUCGAUGUUUGAACUAGCUCCGAGUUCAAUGCUUGCAUCUCUGUUGUUUUCAAAUAUCUUAAUCUUCUUGAUCCAUUUCUGGGGGGUGAAUGUUUCAUCACAAUGAUACUGUUUUAUUUAAAAGAUUUAUGGACUUCUAUAGUUAGGAAACAAGAAGUACCUUUAUUUAUGUUCUAGUUGGUUGGCUAAAAGGCUGAUUUUGAUAUUGGUCCGUCUGGUCCUUUUGCUUUGGAUUUCCUUCAUAUCUUUUGAGCGGAGUCUUGGGGGAUUUACUAUGAACGAUGAUGAUGCCAGUAUGCAAAUCUAUGGGUCAUUAUUUAAUCCUAUAUGGAACUGUUAGUUUUUUUGAUCCCAGAUCUGCAAUUGCUUUGCUGUUGCAGGCUGAAAUGUUGGGGAUUUUGCUAUUGGUUCGAUGUUUGAACUGGCUCCGAGUUCAAUGCUUGCUUCUCUAUUGUUUUCAAAUGUCUUAAUCUUCUUGAUCCAUUUCUGGGGGAUGAAUGUUUCGUCACAAUGAUAUUGUUUUAUUUAAAGGAUUUAUGGACUUCUAUAGUUAGGAAACAAGAAGUACCUUUAUUUUUGUUCUACUUGGUUGGCUAAAAAGCUGAUUUUGAUAUUGGUCCGUCUGGUCCUUUUGCUUUGGGUUUCCUUCAUAUCCUUCGAGCGGAGUCUGGGGGAUUUAUUAUGAAUGAUGAUGAUGCCAGUAUGCAAAUCUGUAGGUCAUCAUUUAAUCCUAUAUGAGGUUUUUAGUUUUCUGAUCCCAGAUCAGCAAUUGCUUUGCUAUCACACGCUGAAAUGUUGGGAAUUUUGCUAUUGAUUCGAUGUUUGCACUGGCUCUGAGUUCAAUGCUUGCAUAUCUAUUGUUUUCAAAUGUCUUAAUCUUCUUGAUCCAUUUCUGGGGGGUGAAUGUUUCAUCACAAUGAUACUGUUUUAUUUAAAGGAUUUAUGGACUUCUAUGGUUAGGAAACAAGAAGUACCUUUAUUUAUGUUCUACUUGGUUAGCUAAAAAAGCUGAUUUUGAUAUUGGUCCGUUUGGUCCUUUUGCUUCAGGUUUCCUUCAUAUCCUUCGAGUGGAGUCUUGGGGGAUUUACUAUGAACGAUGAUGAUGCCAGUAUGCAAAUCUGCCGAAGUUGCUAAAGCUCUAGUGAAGCAAAAAUAGGAAGCAAUAUCUAUGUUUAUAUCAAGUAGCAUGGGGCAUAAGAUCUUCUCUGGUGAUUCAGAUAGAACUUAAAGAAGUAAGAAGCCUGAUGCAUAUAUGCGACUUUCAAAUGAAGAUCAGAUAUUACUGAACUUAUUGAAGCCUUCUGUUUCUAUUCUUAUGUAUCAUUCCUUCACUUCCAUCCUAUUGUAAAUCAAUUGAAGACUGUCAUAAAAUGUCUGGCUAGUCUUCUACUUUCUGUCCUUAUUAUGUAAUGAAGCUAAGUGUGAUAUUACUCCCCAUGGUCUCCUCUCAAUUCUUCUAUAUGAGAAAUCUUAGCAUAGUCG
This is a non-coding RNA of Elaeis guineensis (African oil palm), 5690 nucleotides long. The record is from RefSeq and is a predicted model, not a curated record. NCBI's taxonomy places the organism in Eukaryota, Viridiplantae, Streptophyta, Magnoliopsida, Arecales, Arecaceae.